This 468-nucleotide ribosomal RNA is filed under the name uncultured bacterium. Its description in RNAcentral is "partial 16S ribosomal RNA". It matches the Rfam family "Bacterial small subunit ribosomal RNA", at positions 28 to 507 of the family's 1533-position model. The record is from RNAcentral.
GACGAACGCUGGCGGCGUGCUUAACACAUGCAAGUCGAACGGCAAGGCCCUGCUUUUGUGGGGUGCUCGAGUGGCGAACGGGUGAGUAACACGUGAGUAACCUGCCCUCGACUUUGGGAUAACUUCAGGAAACUGGGGCUAAUACCGGAUAGGAGCUCCUGCUGCAUGGUUUGGGUUGGAAAGUUUCGGCGGUUGGGGAUGGACUCGCGGCUUGUCAGCUUGUUGGUGGGGUAGUGGCUUACCAAGGCCUUGACGGGUAGCCGGCCUGAGAGGGUGACCGGCCACAUUGGGACUGAGAUAAGGCCCAGACUCCUACGGGAGGCAGCUGUGGGGAAUAUUGCACAGUGGGCGGAAGCCUGAUGCAGCAACGCCGCGUGCGGGAUGACGGCCUUCGGGUUGUAAACCGCUUUCGCCUGUGACGAAGCGUGAGUGACGGUAAUGGGUAAAGAAGCACCGGCUAACUACGUG